GUUGAGAUGGCCGAGUUGGUCUAAGGCGCCAGAUUAAGGUUCUGGUCCGAAAGGGCAACCCACUCUCAACA
Stylosanthes scabra is the source of this 71-nucleotide non-coding RNA. Lineage: Eukaryota; Viridiplantae; Streptophyta; Magnoliopsida; Fabales; Fabaceae. The record is from the annotation of a GenBank genome assembly.